AGAGUUUGAUCCUGGCUCAGGAUGAAUGCUGGCGGUGUGUUUUAGGCAUGCAAGUCGAGCGACGCACCUUCGGGUGACGGAGCGGCAGACGGGUGAGUAACGCGUAGGAAUCUACCCUUUAGUGGGGAAUAGCCCUCCGAAAGGAGGUGUAAUACCGCAUAAUCCCUCAGGGGAAAAGGUCUUAACUGAUCGCUAAUGGAGGAGCCUGCGUGCUAUCAGCUUGUUGGUGAGGUAAUGGCUCACCAAGGCAAUGACGGCUAGGGGGCGUGAGAGCGCGACCCCCCACAAGGUCACUGAGACACGGGGCCUACACCUACGGGUGGCAGCAACCGAGAAUAUUGCGCAAUGGGCGAAAGCCUGACGCAGCGACACCGCGUGUGGGAAGAAGCGUUUCGGCGCGUAAACCACUGUGGCAGGGGACGAAUUUUGACGGUACCCUGCUAGAAAGCACCUGCUAACUACGUGCCAGAAGCCUCGGUAAUACGUAGGGUGCAAGCAUUAUCCGGAUUUACUGGGCGUAAAGCGUUCGUAGGCGGAAAAGUUAGUGGUGGGUUAAAUCCCAGGGCUCAACCCUGGAACUGCUCAUCAUACUGCUUUUCUAGAGUGUACUCGGGGAGGUUGGAAUUCUCGGUGGAGGGGUGAAAUCCGUUGAUAUCGAGAGGAACGCCAAGGGUGAAGACAGGCCUCUAGAGUACUACUGACGCUGAGGGACGAAAGCUAGGGUAGCAAACCGGAUUAGAGACCCGGGUAGUCCUAGCCGUAAACGAUGGAUACUAGUUGUCUGAGCUUUUUGCUCGGGUGACGUAAGCUAACGCGUUAAGUAUCCCGCCUGGGGAGUACGGCCGCAAGGUUAAAACUCAAAGGAAUUGACGGGGGAGCGCACAACCGGUGGAGCAUGUGGUUUAAUUCGAUACAAAGCGAAGAACCUUACCUGGGCUUGACAUGUACCUGCUAAUCCUAUGAAAGUAGGACUCUUUCGAAGGUGGUACACAGGUGCUGCAUGGUUGUCGUCAGCUCGUGUCGUGAGAUGUCCGCUUAAGUGCGGUAACGAGCGCAACCCCUAUCGUAUGUUAAAUGAUCAUACGAGACUGCUUCGCAGCAAGCGGGGAGGAAGGAGGGGACGACGUCAAAUCAGCAUGGCCCUUACGCCCAGGGCAACACACAUCCUACAAUGGGGAAGACAAUAGGUCGCGAAGGGGUAACCUGGAGCUAAUCCUCAAACUUUUCCUCAGUUCGGAUUGAGGGCUGCAAUUCGCCCUCAUGAAGUCGGAAUCGGUAGUAAUCGCACGUCAGCAGAGUGCGGUGAAUACGUUCUCGCUCCUUGUACACACUGCCCGUCAAGCCAGCGAAGCCGGCGGUACCCGAAGUCUCUGCAAAUCGCUAGGGCCUAAGGUAAAGUCGGUGACGAGGACUAAGUCGUAACAAGGUAGCCGUACUAGUAC
This 1442-nucleotide ribosomal RNA is filed under the name metagenome. Its description in RNAcentral is "bacterial SSU rRNA". It matches the Rfam family "Bacterial small subunit ribosomal RNA". The record is from RNAcentral.